Molecule: ribosomal RNA, 253 nt
Filed under: uncultured bacterium
Lineage: Bacteria
Description: partial 16S ribosomal RNA
Rfam family: Bacterial small subunit ribosomal RNA
Source: RNAcentral
UACAGAGGGUGCAAGCGUUGUUCGGAAUUACUGGGCGUAAAGAGCGUGUAGGCGGCCAGACAAGUCUGCUGUGAAAACUCGAGGCUCAACCUCGAGCUGUCGGUGGAAACUGUCUGGCUAGAGUCCGGAAGAGGAGAGUGGAAUUCCCAGUGUAGAGGUGAAAUUCGUAGAUAUUGGGAAGAACACCGGUGGCGAAGGCGGCCAUCUGGACCGCAACUGACGCUGAGGCGCGAAAGCGUGGGGAGCAAACAGG